Molecule: unclassified non-coding RNA, 26 nt
Filed under: Dictyostelium discoideum
Lineage: Eukaryota; Evosea; Eumycetozoa; Dictyosteliales; Dictyosteliaceae
Source: RNAcentral
GCGAUAAUUCACUUGAAUUGCAGCCU